CGCCCAAACAUCUUGGCACAAGCCAAGCAUCAAGUAGAUCCAUCCUCCAGCACCGCUGAGUAAUCGUUGUCCACCAUCAAAGAGAAGAAAGGGGCGCUCGGGAGGAACAAGCGGGUCUCCAGGGAAAAUAAUAGGGAGGGAGGAAGAAAACAGGAGAGGGUUGAGUCGCAAGAGAACAAUAGGGAGGGAGGAAGAAAACAGGAGAGUGUUUAUAAAUGGAGUGCUGCUUUGCCCACUCACUAGACCAGAUUGGGUGUCACACAUAAAACACAUGACACAUGAAGCACAAGAAGCUCCAGACCGGGUUGGGUGUCACUCAUGAAACACGAAACUCUCAAAAUCUCAAGGGACCAACUCACACCGCCACAACUCACGCAAUCCCAUAUGCUUGAGACAAAACCCCAACCAGAGCUUAAAAACCCCUGCGAUCUCCCUCAAGUGCUCUCCUUCCAACACAUCUAAUAAGAGAAAACAAUGAAAAAAAAUAAUAAAAUAAAUUACAAAAACCUCCCUAAGGUUUAUAUUUAUUACACUUCCAUCCAGUAUUUAAAAAACCUAUACUUACACCUUUGAAAAAUAACGGCGUUACUUAUGAAAUGACCAAAUUACCCUCUUCCUCAGCGUUAGUAGGUAACAUUCCUCUCGGCCAUCCUCGCAGCGAAGCUCCCGACACCACCAUUGAUGUUGAAGCCAAUGCGGAUGCCGCAGCCACCCAAAGCCAAUACGUCGUCGAUCAAGAAGUCAUUUUUUCCUCUCAGCUUGAUCCACAUUUGCUUGUCAAUGGUGUUGGGGUUCUUGGCAUUGGGGUUCCAGAGGGAUCGGGGAAGGAGGAGAAGAGGGGCGCCAACAGGGGGGUGGAAGAGGCAGCGGUGGCAUGGGAGGAGCUCGCAAGCCUUGGAGAUGAGCUUGGAUGGCAGGAGGUACGGUAUGCUUGACACUAGACAAUAAGAGAUGGUAUGGCAAACCAUACUGGUACUAUUAUGCUUCUCAUGCCAAUGUCAUGCUAAUGCAUGGUAUUUCAUCUCCAUUUCCAUGUGCUGUGACCAAAAAAUUGUACAGUGUGCCAGAGUAG
Molecule: long non-coding RNA, 1072 nt
Filed under: Elaeis guineensis (African oil palm)
Lineage: Eukaryota; Viridiplantae; Streptophyta; Magnoliopsida; Arecales; Arecaceae
Description: long non-coding RNA (EGUI_LNC070320)
Source: RNAcentral